UCAAAAUGGCAAGUUCUACAGAGUGCCCCAUUGCAACUGCUCCUCAUUAAACUCCCUUCAGAGUCAAGAAUGUGUUCACUCUCCUCUUCCUCUUUAUAUACUCACCACCGCCAUCGCCAGCACCUUCACCUUCAUCAUUGUCUCUCUCAUUUAUGGAGCACUGUGCUAAGCCAUUUUUAUGCAUGAUCUUCUCCUCACAACAACCCUGUGAGAUAGAUACCCUUAUUUCCCCCCAUUUCCAAUGGGUAAACUGAGGCUGCAGGAAAUUGAGCCAAUAAAUGGUAGAGCCAGAAUUCCAGUUCAGACCAAAUGUGACUCCAGUACACUAUGCAAUGUAGAUGCCUAUCCAAUGUCUUCUUGGAUGCUUCCAAUGACGAGGUGCUCAGUAACUCCUGAGCUUCCCGUUGCACUGUUGGACAGAUUGCAAGCUUUCCUCCCCAGGUCUCUGACAUUCUGCCUGUCGUUACACAGAAUGCAUCCUGUCACACCAUGGCAGCAUGUUUGAUUGAGGCAGGGCCCUAGUUAAUGCUUUGCAGUCAAGCAGGGAUACUGGGCUGGUGUAAUGUAAAAUGCUGACCUGGGGAAAUGGCAUUUCACUGAACUCACUGAGGCUUGAAAUGGGUGUGCUGUGAACUGUACGGCCUUGCCCUCCUGAAGAGAGGGCCCCGAGGGAUAGCUGGAAGGCCUGGCAGAGUGCCUCUCCUCCCUCUCAGCAUGCCAUGGCCUUCUAGGGGGCUUCCAGUUCCAUGCUGAGGCUAUACUUCCCUCUCAGGGAGAGCUGGUUGCUCCCGCAUGCUGUUUGUAGUGUUUUACAUCUACCUCUGCAAACCUGCUGGGCGUUCUGGCUGGAUGAUGCUGUUCACAUUCCGAAUGCUUGUGUUUACCCACCUCCUCACUGAACAAAUUUACAAAGUCAACAUUUUGGGACAUCUCAGAGAUUUAAAAAAAAAAUGGCAACACAAAACUAACACAACUAUGUUGUCCUCUCCCACCCCCUUGUUUCUAACACAUCAUAGAGUGGAAUUAACAAGAUUCUAGUCCUUGGCACUGGAUCAAUUCUGGAUGCCAUCUCCACCCAGUCUCCAUCCCGUCUUUCCCCUAACUCUUACUGUUCUGAUAAGUGAUGGUAAACAGAAAACAGGCC
RNAcentral lists this long non-coding RNA (1144 nucleotides) under Homo sapiens (human). RNAcentral describes it as "HSALNT0181573". Lineage: Eukaryota; Metazoa; Chordata; Mammalia; Primates; Hominidae. The record is from RNAcentral.